GAAAUGCGAUACGCAAUGCGAAUUGCAGAAUUCCGCGAGUCAUCAGAUCUUUGAACGCAACUGGCGCUGGAGGGAUAUCCUUCCAGCAUGCUUGUUUCAGUGUCUAGAAACCUCACAUAUCUUAAUGUGAUUGAGAUGUGCUAUACAUACUAUGUAUGUUUAAGUACAUUUCUCUCAUGAAAUAUGAAAGUGUGGAUCAUUCGAUCCAGCGAAGUAGUCACAUUCUAAAUGUGAUUUCGUUGGUAAACUCGAAUUAUCCGAAAACACUUUUACAUCAUACAUAUUCUUCAAUAUGCAUCUGAAAUCAAGCAAGAUCACCCGCUGAACUUAAGC
Molecule: unclassified non-coding RNA, 333 nt
Filed under: plant metagenome
Description: partial contains internal transcribed spacer 2 and large subunit ribosomal RNA
Rfam family: 5.8S ribosomal RNA (bases 1-105)
Source: RNAcentral